GACAUUAUAAUGGAUAUACGUCCUCCUACAAAGAUUUUUGAAAUUAGUCCAAUGGAAAGAAGAUGUCCUUCAUCUAGCUCCAGUAGACAAUGGUGUGGGCAUUUCAAAUCUUGAUCCAAGAGAUCAAAUAGAAGCAUCCAAUCAGAGGGAUGUUGAAGUACCUACCUCCCAAGGCCUUCUUGAAAUUGAAGUUAUUAGUGAUGCUGGUCUUAAAUUUGGGUCAAAAGACUUUCCAGAGUUGUCAAACCUCAGCAAUGAUGAUUUUGAACAAAACAUGCAAUUAAACCAAAACAUGAGUGGGAAAAGGCUCUCUCUCUCUCUCUCUCUCUCUCUCUCUCUCUCUCUCUAAGUAUAAUUACCCUUGACAUUCGAACUCCACUCUGGAUGGUUAUGAGGUUUAUCUCUUCCCUCCCUGCUCCUCUCUUAUGCCUUCUUCCAUUUAUUCUAGUAACCCUUUUAAUGCAGCCUUUAUUUUUUGGAAGUGUUCCUCUGCAACUUUUAUAGGGCUUAGCAUGCUUAUCUCAAGUCUGAAUGUUAUAUAGUUUUUAUUUAAUUUCUAAUUAUUAUUAUUUCUUCAAUGAUAUAAUGGAUGAAAAAGAAGUUGAUCUACUCCAUGGCAAUUAAAUAGUCACAGCUAGUGGAUCGGACUUCCAAGGUUCCCUACCCCGUUAUUGGGACCUUUGAGCAGUACAGUCAUGAUCCUUGUCAUUGAUUGAGGGAGUCUGAGGAGUCAAUGGUUUCAAUUACAAUAUAGCUUUUCUUUUUCCAACUUAUGCAAUGUAAGUGAUAUCAUGCGGUUUACCAAAGUGUUUCCAAGAAUUUCUGUGAGUAUCUAAAUCUGAAAUUAGUAAAAAUAUAUGAAUUAUUUCUUUCAAAUCCCUUUGCCUUGUUGUGGAUAAAUAGAGAUUUUUCUAAAUUCACUUUUUCUCUCACAGUUCUCUUCUCAGUUCAAUUCAGUCCCCCACUCCCUUGACCUAUCUCCGACCGAAUCUAAUCUCGAAUAUGUGAGUAGCAAUGACUGCACAAAGCUAGCACUGAGCAACAAUGCCUAAACCCACUCUUGAAAUGGUGAUCAAAAUUCAGACUUCUCUGCAACUUUGUUGACACUGUGAAAGAUGUCAGAAAUAUGAAAUAUCUCUC
Molecule: long non-coding RNA, 1140 nt
Organism: Macadamia integrifolia
Lineage: Eukaryota; Viridiplantae; Streptophyta; Magnoliopsida; Proteales; Proteaceae
Exons: 3
Source: RefSeq, a predicted model, not a curated record